UCUAACAAGUAGUUUGAAGCUCUUUAAUAUAGGUGGGACGGCACAUUUGUCAGCUUUGGCAUUGCUGGUAGACCAAAAGGCCACUGUUAUCCACCAGCCAGUCUGCAGUGGCACGCAUAAUGCAUGCUACAUGUGACAAAUCUGAUGGGGACUCCUUCCUACUCCAAUUUAUAUGGCUGGGAAAGACCAUCACAUGUCCUUUUUAAAGUCAUCCUGACACACUGUGGAAUCAAUAAAAGCAGUUAUGGUGCCUUUCAAGAAACUUCUCCAUGUUUUGCAUGAGCCUCUUGUGGGGGAGGCAAUGAGGUCUCAGCACAAGAAAUUUCAAGUUGUCUGCAUGAAAGUCAAGCAGUGGUUUUGAACUUGGCAAUCAAGUAUUGGAUAGGCCAGUAAACCAAUCAUAUCCUGCCAUGCCCCCCUACAUUGUGUUGAUGAUGGUUUGGAUUCUUGCCUUUACCUAGGAAACACUCCAUGAGAUUGUUGAUGCACCAAAGGCCAUCAGUCACCCAGACAUGGACAGGAGCCUUGGAUAAGGUUUACUCCAAACUCUGCUUGUGGAGCAACACCCAGUAUAUUCAUACAUGGUUACUGGAAAUUUUUGUAACCUUCCUUUCAUGUGACCUCCUCCACCUUCUCUCAAUUUAGGGGUUUGUGAUUUGCCAAAGAAUUCCACAAGUUUGGGACUUUUACCUUUCUCCUUAUUCCAAAAUCUCUAACAUGCUCACUCCUUUGUACACUUUCUUUCAAUCUCUUGGUCUGCUUUUUGUAUCACACCUUUCAAUCUCUCAGUGUUUAGCUUCUACUGGGGCUCAAAAUGAACAAAGCUUUGCACCUGAGUUGUAUUAGUCAGUAAGAUUGACAAAGCUUAAAAUGGAUCGUAAGUUUCAUGUAUGAUCCUCGAAUUUGGCAGAUGAUGAGUAGAUAGAUGCAGAGGGACUGCUUGCUGUGGUUGUCUGUGGAAACAAAUGAGUGCUGAACUCCAUUAGUUCAUCAGAGUGUCAACUUUAUCUUGGUUGUUGUUGUUGUUUGAUGUAGAAAAUUUAUCUCGUUAGUACUCUUUACUAUAAACUGUUUAAAAAUAUAUUUUUAAUGUUUUUUAUUUUUU
This 1105-nucleotide long non-coding RNA is filed under the name Musa acuminata (dwarf banana). RNAcentral describes it as "long non-coding RNA (MACU_LNC011614)". Lineage: Eukaryota; Viridiplantae; Streptophyta; Magnoliopsida; Zingiberales; Musaceae. The record is from RNAcentral.